AAUCUCGGGUUGCUGCAACCUCUGCCUCAUGGAUUCAAGCAAUUCUUAUGCCUCAGCCUCCCAGCAGGGGACCUCCUCGCCCACGACCUGCCCCAGCAGUUGGAGAGGCUGAAGAUAAAGAAAAUCAGCAAGCCACCAGUGGUCCAAACCAGCCGUCUGUUCGCCGUGGAUACCGGCGUCCCUACAAUUACCGGCGUCGCCCGCGUCCUCCUAACGCUCCUUCACAAGAUGGCAAAGAGGCCAAGGCAGGUGAAGCACCAACUGAGAACCCUGCUCCACCCACCCAGCAGAGCAGUGCUGAGUAACACCAGGCUCCUCAGGCACCUUCACCAUCGGCAGGUGACCUAAAGAAUUAAUGACCAUUCAGAAAUAAAGCAAAAAGCAGGCCACAACCUUAACCAACACCAAAGAAACAUCCAAGCAAUAAAGUGGAAGACUAACCAAGAUUUGGACAUUGGAAUGUUUACUGUUAUUCUUUAAGAAACAACUACAAAAAGAAAAUGUCAACAAAUUUUUCCAGCAAGCUGAGAACCUGGGAAUUCCUGCACGGAAGACAAGAGAGUAGCCUCUCCAGUUUCAGCAACCGCUAGGUUUCUAUUUUUUUUCCUGGUUUUUACUGUUUUGGUAAUAUAUAUAUUGAAACAAGAAAUAUUAAUACCACAUGGGGAGAACCCCAA
RNAcentral lists this long non-coding RNA (677 nucleotides) under Homo sapiens (human). RNAcentral's name for it is "non-protein coding lnc-STYK1-1:3". The record is from RNAcentral. Lineage: Eukaryota; Metazoa; Chordata; Mammalia; Primates; Hominidae.